This 245-nucleotide long non-coding RNA is filed under the name Mytilus galloprovincialis (Mediterranean mussel). The record is from RNAcentral. Lineage: Eukaryota; Metazoa; Mollusca; Bivalvia; Mytilida; Mytilidae.
UUUUGUUUCUGGUUUGAAGUUAAAUUAUAUUUGUUUUUCCUGUUUAAAUUGUUUUUUAACAGUGUUUUUGGUGCCCUUAAUAGAAUGCUGUCCAAUGUGACACAAGUCUUUGUUAUGAAGGCUGUAUUAUGACCUAUAAUAACUUUGACUACACUGUGUCUAACACUUCAUGGAGAGUUGCCUCAUUGUUAUUCCUAUCACAUUUAAAAAGAUAUUCCCUCUGACAUUUGACAAAUGCAUUAGAA